UUUGCUGACGAGUGGCGGACGGGUGAGUAAUGUCUGGGAAACUGCCCGAUGGAGGGGGAUAACUACUGGAAACGGUAGCUAAUACCGCAUAACGUCGCAAGACCAAAGAGGGGGACCUUCGGGCCUCUUGCCAUCGGAUGUGCCCAGAUGGGAUUAGCUAGUAGGUGGGGUAAAGGCUCACCUAGGCGACGAUCCCUAGCUGGUCUGAGAGGAUGACCAGCCACACUGGAACUGAGACACGGUCCAGACUCCUACGGGAGGCAGCAGUGGGGAAUAUUGCACAAUGGGCGCAAGCCUGAUGCAGCCAUGCCGCGUGUAUGAAGAAGGCCUUCGGGUUGUAAAGUACUUUCAGCGGGGAGGAAGGGAGUAAAGUUAAUACCUUUGCUCAUUGACGUUACCCGCAGAAGAAGCACCGGCUAACUCCGUGCCAGCAGCCGCGGUAAUACGGAGGGUGCAAGCGUUAAUCGGAAUUACUGGGCGUAAAGCGCACGCAGGCGGUUUGUUAAGUCAGAUGUGAAAUCCCCGGGCUCAACCUGGGAACUGCAUCUGAUACUGGCAAGCUUGAGUCUCGUAGAGGGGGGUAGAAUUCCAGGUGUAGCGGUGAAAUGCGUAGAGAUCUGGAGGAAUACCGGUGGC
RNAcentral lists this ribosomal RNA (636 nucleotides) under Shigella dysenteriae. Its description in RNAcentral is "bacterial SSU rRNA". It matches the Rfam family "Bacterial small subunit ribosomal RNA", at positions 84 to 716 of the family's 1533-position model. Lineage: Bacteria; Pseudomonadati; Pseudomonadota; Gammaproteobacteria; Enterobacterales; Enterobacteriaceae. The record is from RNAcentral.